Molecule: long non-coding RNA, 426 nt
Filed under: Toxoplasma gondii VEG
Lineage: Eukaryota; Apicomplexa; Conoidasida; Eucoccidiorida; Sarcocystidae
Source: RNAcentral
CAAACAUCGUGGUACUCACUUUGGUAGUCUCCUCCAUAAUGUUAGGCUGUAUGGAAUAUUGGUGUCUAUCUCACCAUAUUAACGGUAAAGGACUUGGUGAUGAUCUAGUUGUACGUCCUGGUAUGUUUUUCGUGGAGAGAGAAAUGAGAGGCCGGAGUUACUCCCCCGUUCUAUCUCAGACGCACCGCCCGGGUCAACUGAUUCAAAAUAGGGUGAAAUCCCUGUUAGCAUGAACCCAUGUUCUACUCUGCCACCUUUACAUAAGAUUGAAGGGAUACUGUGGUCGUCUUUGGAGCAACCCUUCGUCUUUCCUGUAUCCAUUCAACUUGCUAAAAAUACUUGAGCUGUAGAAAAACUAUGCCGUGUCUACGCGGCGCUUUUGCCCUACAGGGUCGGUCUGGUCGUCCGACCCUCAUAAUGUCUGGG